This is a small nuclear RNA of Mustela erminea (ermine), 143 nucleotides long. RefSeq annotates it as U4 spliceosomal RNA. Lineage: Eukaryota; Metazoa; Chordata; Mammalia; Carnivora; Mustelidae. The record is from RefSeq and is a predicted model, not a curated record. The transcript has a single exon.
AGCUUUGCGCAGUGGCAGUAUCGUAGCCAAUGAGGUUUAUCCGAGGCGCGAUUAUUGCUAAUUAAAGUUUAGAAUACAGCUUUCCUUAUUGUCCCCCCUUGCUCAUAGCCAUCUUGCUUAAUUUUAUCAGUUUUUCUUUCAAA